This 247-nucleotide ribosomal RNA is filed under the name uncultured bacterium. Its description in RNAcentral is "partial 16S ribosomal RNA". It matches the Rfam family "Bacterial small subunit ribosomal RNA", at positions 523 to 769 of the family's 1533-position model. The record is from RNAcentral.
AUACGGAGGGUGCAAGCGUUAAUCGGAAUUACUGGGCGUAAAGCGCGUGCAGGCGGGUGGACAAGUCUGAUGUGAAAGCCCCGGGCUCAACCUGGGAACUGCAUUUCGAACUGUCCGACUAGAGUCUUGUAGAGGGGGGUAGAAUUCCGGGUGUAGCGGUGAAAUGCGUAGAGAUCUGGAGGAAUACCGGUGGCGAAGGCGGCCCCCUGGACAAAGACUGACGCUCAGGUGCGAAAGCGUGGGGAGC